CCUACGGGCGGCAGUAGUGGGGAAUAUUGGACAAUGGGCGAAAGCCUGAUCCAGCCAUGCCGCGUGUGUGAAGAAGGCCUUCGGGUUGUAAAGCACUUUCAGUGGGGAAGAAAGCCUUGGGGCUAAUACCCUCGAGGAAGGACAUCACCCACAGAAGAAGCACCGGCUAACUCCGUGCCAGCAGCCGCGGUAAUACGGAGGGUGCGAGCGUUAAUCGGAAUUACUGGGCGUAAAGCGCGCGUAGGCGGUCUGAUAAGCCGGUUGUGAAAGCCCCGGGCUCAACCUGGGAACGGCAUCCGGAACUGUCAGGCUAGAGUGCAGGAGAGGAAGGUAGAAUUCCCGGUGUAGCGGUGAAAUGCGUAGAGAUCGGGAGGAAUACCAGUGGCGAAGGCGGCCUUCUGGACUGACACUGACGCUGAGGUGCGAAAGCGUGGGUAGCAAACAGGAUUAGAUACCCCUGUAGUC
This 465-nucleotide ribosomal RNA is filed under the name Vreelandella stevensii. RNAcentral's name for it is "partial 16S ribosomal RNA". It matches the Rfam family "Bacterial small subunit ribosomal RNA", at positions 338 to 795 of the family's 1533-position model. The record is from RNAcentral. Lineage: Bacteria; Pseudomonadati; Pseudomonadota; Gammaproteobacteria; Oceanospirillales; Halomonadaceae.